GCCAUAACUCAGUGGUAAGGCAUCUGCUUUGCGUGCAGAAGGCCCCAAAUUCAAUUCCUGGAGGAGGCU
Podarcis lilfordi (Lilford's wall lizard) is the source of this 69-nucleotide non-coding RNA. Lineage: Eukaryota; Metazoa; Chordata; Lepidosauria; Squamata; Lacertidae. The record is from the annotation of a GenBank genome assembly.